RNAcentral lists this ribosomal RNA (468 nucleotides) under uncultured bacterium. RNAcentral describes it as "partial 16S ribosomal RNA". It matches the Rfam family "Bacterial small subunit ribosomal RNA", at positions 28 to 507 of the family's 1533-position model. The record is from RNAcentral.
GACGAACGCUGGCGGCGUGCUUAACACAUGCAAGUCGAGCGGAAAGGCCCUGCUUUUGUGGGGUGCUCGAGUGGCGAACGGGUGAGUAACACGUGAGUAACCUGCCCUUGACUUUGGGAAAACUUCAGGAAACUGGGGCUAAUACCGGAUAGGAGCUCCUGCUGCAUGGUGGGGGUUGGAAAGUUUCGGCGGUUGGGGAUGGACUCGCGGCUUAUCAGCUUGUUGGUGGGGUAGUGGCUUACCAAGGCUUUGACGGGUAGCCGGCCUGAGAGGGUGACCGGCCACAUUGGGACUGAGAUACGGCCCAGACUCCUACGGGAGGCAGCAGUGGGGAAUAUUGCACAAUGGGCGGAAGCCUGAUGCAGCAACGCCGCGUGCGGGAUGACGGCCUUCGGGUUGUAAACCGCUUUCGCCUGUGACGAAGCGUGAGUGACGGUAAUGGGUAAAGAAGCACCGGCUAACUACGUG